This 336-nucleotide unclassified non-coding RNA is filed under the name soil metagenome. Its description in RNAcentral is "partial contains 5.8S ribosomal RNA, internal transcribed spacer 2, and large subunit ribosomal RNA". The stretch from base 1 to 120 matches the Rfam family "5.8S ribosomal RNA", at positions 35 to 154 of the family's 154-position model. The record is from RNAcentral.
GAUGAAGAACGUAGCGAAAUGCGAUAAGUAGUGUGAAUUGCAGAAUUCAGUGAAUCAUCGAAUCUUUGAACGCACAUUGCGCCCCUUGGUAUUCCAUGGGGCAUGCCUGUUCGAGCGUCAUUUGUACCUUCAAGCUUUGCUUGGUGUUGGGUGUUUGUCUCGCCUUUGCGUGUAGACUCGCCUUAAAAUAAUUGGCAGUCGGCGUAUUGAUUUCGGAGCGCAGUACAUCUUGCGCUUUGCACUCAUAACGACAGCGUCCAAAAGUACAUUUUACACUCUUGACCUCGGAUCAGGUAGGGAUACCCGCUGAACUUAAGCAUAUCAAUAAGCGGAGGA